GAUGAAGAACGCAGCGAAAUGCGAUAAGUAGUGUGAAUUGCAGAAUUCAGUGAAUCAUCGAAUCUUUGAACGCACAUUGCGCCCCUUGGUAUUCCGGGGGGCAUGCCUGUUCGAGCGUCAUUUCAACCCUCAAGCUCAGCUUGGUAUUGAGUCCAUGUCAGUAAUGGCAGGCUCUAAAAUCAGUGGCGGCGCCGCUGGGUCCUGAACGUAGUAAUAUCUCUCGUUACAGGUUCUCGGUGUGCUUCUGCCAAAACCCAAAUUUUCUAUGGUUGACCUCGGAUCAGGUAGGGAUACCCGCUGAACUUAAGCAUAUCAAUAAGCGGGGA
RNAcentral lists this unclassified non-coding RNA (326 nucleotides) under soil metagenome. RNAcentral describes it as "partial contains 5.8S ribosomal RNA, internal transcribed spacer 2, and large subunit ribosomal RNA". The stretch from base 1 to 120 matches the Rfam family "5.8S ribosomal RNA", at positions 35 to 154 of the family's 154-position model. The record is from RNAcentral.